RNAcentral lists this transfer RNA (76 nucleotides) under Gordonibacter pamelaeae. RNAcentral describes it as "tRNA-Ala". The record is from RNAcentral. Lineage: Bacteria; Bacillati; Actinomycetota; Coriobacteriia; Eggerthellales; Eggerthellaceae.
CGCGGGCGGCCCGGCCGGCGACGGCGGCGGCCCCGGCGCGGCCGUCGAGGCCGGGUCACUGUCCGGCGCCGGCGCC